RNAcentral lists this ribosomal RNA (253 nucleotides) under Verrucomicrobiota bacterium. RNAcentral's name for it is "partial 16S ribosomal RNA". It matches the Rfam family "Bacterial small subunit ribosomal RNA", at positions 524 to 776 of the family's 1533-position model. Lineage: Bacteria; Pseudomonadati; Verrucomicrobiota. The record is from RNAcentral. RNAcentral also lists the same sequence under 2 other names.
UACAGAGGUCUCAAGCGUUGUUCGGAUUCAUUGGGCGUAAAGGGUGCGUAGGUGGCGCUGUAAGUCGGGUGUGAAAUUUCGGAGCUUAACUCCGAAACUGCAUUCGAUACUGCGGUGCUUGAGGACUGGAGAGGAGACUGGAAUUCAUGGUGUAGCAGUGAAAUGCGUAGAGAUCAUGAGGAAGACCAGUGGCGAAGGCGGGUCUCUGGACAGUUCCUGACACUGAGGCACGAAGGCCAGGGGAGCAAACGGG